UACGGAGGGGGCGAGCGUUAUUCGGAAUUAUUGGGCGUAAAGGGCGCGUAGGCGGCUGGGCAAGUCAAAGGUGAAAUCCCUCGGCUCAACUGAGGAACUGCCUUUGAAACUGCCUGGCUUGAGGCCGGGAGGGGGUAGCGGAAUUCCCAGUGUAGCGGUGAAAUGCGUAGAUAUUGGGAGGAACACCAGUGGCGAAGGCGGCUACCUGGACCGGUUCUGACGCUCAGGAGCGAAAGCCAGGGGAGCAAACGGG
Molecule: ribosomal RNA, 253 nt
Filed under: uncultured bacterium
Lineage: Bacteria
Description: partial 16S ribosomal RNA
Rfam family: Bacterial small subunit ribosomal RNA
Source: RNAcentral